Esox lucius (northern pike) is the source of this 1107-nucleotide long non-coding RNA. NCBI's taxonomy places the organism in Eukaryota, Metazoa, Chordata, Actinopteri, Esociformes, Esocidae. The record is from Ensembl.
AAACACGGCGAGUGGAGUUUAGACCAAAAAGGUCUAUUUUUGUCUCAUCAGACCACAUGACCUUCUCCCAUUCCUCCUCUGGAUCAUCCAGAUGGUCAUAGGCAAACUUCUGACGAGCCUGGACAUGCGCUGGCUUGAGCAGGGGGACCUUGCGUGUGCUGCAGGAUUUUAAUCCAUGACGGCGUAGUGUGUUACUAAUGGUUUUCUUUGAGACUGUGGUCCCAGCACUCUUCAGGUCAUUGACCAGGUCCUGCCGUGUAGUUCUGGGCUGAUCCCUCACCUUCUUCAUGAUCAUUGAUGCCCCACGAGGUGAGAUCUUGCAUGGAGCCCCAGACAGAGGGAGAUUUACGUAAUCUUGAACUUCUUCCAUUUUCUAAUAAUUGCGCCAACAGUUGUUGCCUUCUCACCAAGCUGCUUGCCUAUUGUCCUGUAGCCCAGCCCAGCCUUGUGCAGAUCUACAAUUUCAUCCCUGAUGUCCUUACACAGCUCUCUGGUCUUGGCCAUUGUGGAGAGGUUGGAGUCUGUUUGAUUGAGUGUGUGGACAGGUGUCUUUUAUACAGAUGCUUGGCUGGUGUUUCAUCAUCAUUUCAGGCCUAAUUGGGCUCGUUGGGACCAGCUACACAAACUGUUUCUCACAAGUCAGCUAUCUGCAGCUCACCUUCAAGUAGCGCUACAUUGAAAAGGUGAAUGAGCAGUUCGAGACCUAUGUUCUGGAUUAUCCCUCCAAGCAGGCUGAAAGGAACCUCAAGAGCUUCAUGGAGAACAGUGAACCUGAGAAAUUCCAAACCAUAAGGCCUGGGAUAAGAUCUCUGAACUGUACACCUUCACUAAGAGUGAGCAUUACUACAGCACCCUGCACAGGUACGUGGAACGUGAUGGCCGAGACUACAGCCCUGAGGAAGGACAGUCAGGAUAGAGAAUACCAUAGAGAUGUUCUGAGAGUUGGGAGUUUAAAGACAAUUGUUUCCAGAGAAAAAAAUAUAUUGGCAUAUUUCAUGACCCUUUCCAUUGUUAUUGUAUAUUUUUUUGUCCAAUUUAUUUGACCUUCAAGCCAUGAACAAUAUAUGCAGUACUGUAAGUGUUUUUCUGUUUGCAUUUACCCCGAAA